ACACUCAAAAUUUAUUGCAAGUGAGCCAGGAGCCAGGAGUCCAGCCGUACCCAGGUAGGAGACACCGUUGACACCAUUAUCAUCACCAUACCUAGACUUUAUAGGCAAUCACACCACUUUGGCAUUCCUAACCUGGGACGU
This is a long non-coding RNA of Bufo bufo (common toad), 141 nucleotides long. RefSeq lists it as uncharacterized. Lineage: Eukaryota; Metazoa; Chordata; Amphibia; Anura; Bufonidae. The record is from RefSeq and is a predicted model, not a curated record. The transcript is spliced from 3 exons.